This 494-nucleotide ribosomal RNA is filed under the name uncultured bacterium. Its description in RNAcentral is "partial 16S ribosomal RNA". It matches the Rfam family "Bacterial small subunit ribosomal RNA", at positions 28 to 507 of the family's 1533-position model. The record is from RNAcentral.
GACGAACGCUGGCGGCGCGCUUAACACAUGCAAGUCGAACGGAAAGGCCUGCUUUCCCUUGUGGAUUGCGGGUACUCGAGUGGCGAACGGGUGAGUAACACGUGAGUGAUCUGCCCCCAACUUGGGUAUAAGCCUGGGAAACUGGGUCUAAUUCCCGAUAGGACUGCAGGGUGGUGCCUGUGGUGGGAAACGAUUUUCUAGUGGUUGGGGAUGAGCUCGCGGCCUAUCAGUUUGCUGGUGGGGUAAUGGCCUACCAAGGCGGGGACGGGUAGCCGGCCUGGGGGGGUGGGCGGCAGAAUUGGGACGGAGACACGGCCCAGGAGCCAACGGGAGGAAGCAGUGGGGAAUAUUGCACAAUGGGCGGAAGCCAGAUGCAGCGACGCCGCGUGGGGGAUGACGGGCUUCGGAUUGUAAACUCCUUUCGACCGCGAGGAAGCCACCUGGUUGGAAGGGUGGUGACGGUAGUUGUAGAAGAAGCACCGGCUAACUACGUG